Molecule: ribosomal RNA, 253 nt
Filed under: uncultured bacterium
Lineage: Bacteria
Description: partial 16S ribosomal RNA
Rfam family: Bacterial small subunit ribosomal RNA
Source: RNAcentral
UACGAAGGGUGCAAGCGUUAAUCGGAAUUACUGGGCGUAAAGCGUGCGUAGGUGGUUUUUUAAGUCUGCUGUGAAAGCCCUGGGCUCAACCUGGGAAUGGCGGUGGAUACUGAAAAGCUAGAGUGCGGUAGAGGAGGGUGGAAUUCCCGGUGUAGCGGUGAAAUGCGUAGAGAUCGGGAGGAACAUCAGUGGCGAAGGCGGCCCUCUGGACCAGCACUGACGCUGAGGCACGAAAGCGUGGGGAGCAAACAGG